Molecule: long non-coding RNA, 4639 nt
Organism: Episyrphus balteatus (marmalade hoverfly)
Lineage: Eukaryota; Metazoa; Arthropoda; Insecta; Diptera; Syrphidae
Exons: 3
Source: RefSeq, a predicted model, not a curated record
UGUUUCUUAUUUUUUUUUUAUUUGGUGAUUUUUUUUGUAUAGGUUCCAAUUGAACCAAAUAAGAAAAAUGUGAGUAAAAUUUAACAAUUCAUUAAAAUAUCUUAUUGUUUUCAGUUAGGUACCUACACCUACGUAUGUACCUAGUUCUUUAUUUCUUAUUAUUGUGGAUAGGCACAUAUCGUCGGCGUAAAGCAAAAUUGUUCUCAGUACAAAGGAUUUCUUAAAGACUUAGAACCAGAGAUACACAAAGGAGAUGGGAAACUUUCGUACGUUUUACCCCCCAAAAUCCAUUUUCCUAAAAUUGUUUUUGUAAUUUGAACCGUGUCUGGGAAUAAAUAUGAAAAGCAACAACAAAGUGAUGAGGUGAAAAACGAGUUUAUUUAAAAAAUAAAUGUACUCAGAGAUACCCAAACACCAUUUUUAAGCCCGCAAAUUAGUGAAGUUAUGCUCUUGUGUACGAAAGUGAUUUAACUACAGAAGAUCGAUCCUCUGACGAUUAUUUGAGUAAACAUUGGUAUAAGAAAAUAUAUUCAUUUGCCAAGGUUACCGACACACUUCUGCUAGGGUGGUUGUCUGGUAAAGAAGCUGAAUAUAUGGAGACCUUGUCGCAAGAAGCAGUUGCAGAAAAAUGCACUGAAAUUCUUAAAAUAUUUCUGAAGGAUCAUCUCGUUCCAAAGCCAAAGAAAUGUAUAUGCACAAGCUGGAAAUCUCAAUAGUACACUCGAGGAUCAUAUACAUCAAUACCUCUAGGAGCAUCUCAAGAGGAUAUUGAAAAUCUCGCACAACCUCUUUACGCAAAUCCCCAUCAAAUGAAAGCAAGUGUUUUAAUUUAUCUUAAUAAAAACCAAAAAUAAUUUGCCUUUUAAUUUUCUUUAUACUUAUCUAGCCUGCAGUGCUGUUUGCUGGUGAACAACACAUUCAAAUUUGUAUUCAACCGUACAUGGUGCCUAUUUAAGUGGAAGAACUGCCGCACAAUACAUCCUCCUUAAUGAUGAACCCGAAGAAAUUAUUAUGGAGUCCGAUACAAGUGACCUAAGUUCAUGGAUUCGAGGAAUAUCAUUGGACUAAAAUUGUUUAACAAUUAAAAGGGGAUAUAAAACGCACUCGAAGACAACAAAAAAACGUAAGCUGAAAUCACAGUUACUAUAUAAUUCAUAUUUAACUCUCAAAUCUAAACAAAAUAAACAACAAAACUGUCCACCCGCUUAUGCGGGUCCACCCAAUUAUGAUGUAUGUAUAUUAUAAGAACAUGAUUAUUUUAAAUAUAAAAGCAACGCAGUGAUAAGUAAAUUUAUAACUAACAUUUAAGAACUAACUCUAAUUCAACGCUGAACAAAAAAAAUUUUAUGUAUAACUUAUAAAAUAUUAUAUAUUUUCUAUUUAUUGAGUGCGCGAUUUAGUUUUGUAAGGUACGAGUGAUUCAUAUGAAUAGAAUUAAGAAAAUGAUACCAAGAUUGCAAUGAUUAUUAUUUUUGUAAAAGCAUGUUCUGUUGUGUAUUUGAUAAAUUUCUGUGCAAUAUUAUUUGUAAAAUUAAAUUAAUAGAAGAACUUCGAAACUUAAUAAAGGAGAUCAAAUCUCAAGUAAAACCUAAUUAUUUUAGGAAGAAGUUUUUUUGAAUUGGCAAAGAAGAACUAAUAACAAACAGUUAAAACCAUGGUGUGUGCUUUCAAAACAAAGAACGUGAUUCAAUGUGUAUGAAAUGGAUAACAGCCGUUGCAGUUGAACCCGAAUCAAAUGGUACUGAUAAUGUCUGAUUGCAAUAGUCGGCAAAACUAUACCUACUCAUCAUUACUUUCGCUAUAAAAUCUCAAAAACGAAUUUUCAACAAAAUUCCUUUUAAUUUUUAGUUUUUUUAUUUUUAUUUUUCGAAAUACAUGAUAGUAUAUGUCCCAUGCAUGGGCCAAAUCCAUCCAAUUUCGAAGAAGUCUUAUGUCUCUGGCUUCAUUCGUAGUCUUCGGUUAAUACACGUCCAUAGGCCUGACUGAAUGUAGUCUUUUUCAAUGUUUGUGGCCCACAAUCAAGCAUAUUGUAUUGUGCAAUGGUUCCAAUAUCUCAAACAUUCCUUUUACAUUUCUUUCACCAAUGUACAAACGGGAAGCCUCUUCCAGUCCCUCAGCCCAUUGUUCAUGCCAGAGGAUGGCCACUGGCCACCCGAAUCAAUUCCUCACUGCACAUCAUCGCUUGUUCAACCAAUUUCAGGGAGUGUUUGCGCAUUGAAUCGAGAAUCUUAAGGGUAUGUUUCAGGGCCAAAAAAUGAUUAGGACUUUGCGCCAAGCUCUGCAGAAUCCACAUUUUUGAGAAUAUUUAAUUGAAAUAAACGAUUUUGGAUUAAGAAUAUAUGUGGGGACAUAUAUUGCUGGCUUGAAAAAAAAAACAAAAAUUUUGUAGUUGUCAAAAUCAGUAAAAACUAUGAAAAAUCGUCAAAUUUAGAUAUGUGUUCUUAAGGACCUCUGGGAAAUUCAUCAAAUGUUAUUUUUUUAUUUGUGCAUAUUUUUUUUUUACAUAACAAUAAACCCCUACAUUUCAGGACAUCUUCAUUUUUUUGAAAUUUAGUAUCAUUUGUAUGAAAAAAAAUAUUACCAAACCCCGAAAAAAAGGGCAAAUUUGCAAAAAACAUCAAUGCUAGAUUUCGUAUAACUUUAAAAGUUCAAAAGCUAUAGAAACAAAAUAAACUGUUUUUUAAAGCCUGAAAAUGCAUUAACAUAACUCUAUUUUUUUUAUAAUAAAAAAAAAAAAUUAUGAGUUUUUGAAACAAAAAAUCUGGAAAAAUUAUAGGUUUUUGGUGUCUUUUUUUUAUUGCCUGGCGGGAAAUCCAUAAAUAAUUUUUUUUUAAUUUUUUUAUUAUUUUAAUAUGAUAAAAUAUAUUUCAGAGCUUCUCACGACAUAUUUUUUUUUUUUGAUUUUUUGGACCUAACAUACUUAUAAACGCAAUUGAAUAUGUGAAUAUGUAUAAUGUCGUUGUGAAUGAAGGGAAACCUUGACAAUAUCAAUUUAUUUUUUGUAUUUUUUUUUGUUAUUUUGUUUAUAGGUUCCAAUAAAAAAAAAUAUUUUUUCAUGGGUGGUAUAUUUAAUUUUAAUUUUUAAAAUUGUGUCUAUUUUGCGUUUUUCACCUAGAAAAAUUCUUUUUUUCACGCACACAAAUAUAUUUAGUUCAACAAAAUUCCACUGCUAAAUCAGCGCUAAAACAUUCUCUUUUCGCUGCAUUCUCUUUUUUUUUUAAUAAAUCCGCUCUCAUUUUUUCUCAUAUUUUUGUUUGACUCUCGUCGCGUCUGUUUUUUUUGUCUUAUUUUUUAUUUGUCUCAUUUUUUUUCAAUCCUAGACUUUGUGGAAGGUCAGAUUUUUUUUGUUGCAAGAUAUUUGCUUGAUUUUUUUUAUUGGUGUGGGUGACAGUAAUUGUAUAUUUUUCGUUUUUGUUUUCGGAGAAGUAAGUUAGGUAUGUAAUGUUUUUGUUUUUGUGCAUGGUCAUGAUUGCAAUAUUUUUUUUAUAGUUGAUGGACGAGUAUUACUUUUCGGUACAUAUAGUGUAUAGGAACAUAGCUUGCAUAUAUAGAUUUGUUUUGGUAAAGUAGGCAAAAUUAAUUUCGACAUCAUUUUUUUUUCAAUAUUGGUCUAUUCUAUUAUGAAGUCAUAAAACACAAAUAAAUUACAUUUUACAGACAUCAUCCUGGACGUGUGCCACUUCCAGCGUCCUUGUCCUCGUGACCGACAGACAUCGUGUCGUCGGUCGGCGGCGGCGCGGCGGCCAUUGGCAUACCUACAUAGAUGUUGUUAAAAAAUUGUAAACACUUUUGGGUACCUACCUACUUUUAUUUCUUUCAGAAUCAAGAUAGCUACUUGUAAAUAAAAUCUGUAGGUAAACAUUGGUUGGGUUCAAAAAAAAUUAUAGCUGUAUGUAGGUAGGUAAAUUCUUUACUUUUUUUUUGAAGAGUAGGUAUAUUUUAAAUUUGCGAAAUUCUGCAACAGAUAAUGAAUGUGUCAAUAUAAUCAAUGUUAUAUAAUGUUUUUACCUAAUAUAUGUAUGUACAUCAGAAAGGAGAAAAUCUAUCAUUUUUUGUUUUCUUUGGUUACACAUGAACAUUGUGAGGGAAAAGGGUUGAGUGGGAGAUACGUACGGCGGAGAAAAGAUAUUGUAGAUAUUUUGUAUACCAUUUCUUUCUGUAGUGGAUAGAAAACAUAACUAAAUAGUUUUUAACCAAGUUUUGAAUCCAACUAUUACUGUAGAAGAUAAAAAUAAAAAAUAAAAAAAUCGUAUUUUUGUAUUUUUUUCAAUAUAUUUGAGGUUUUAUAAAAAAAAAUGGUUUUUGUAAAAGUUGUAGACAUUUAUACCUACUGUCUACAAUUUUUAACUUUGCGUUUAACUUUUUUCGAUAGGAGGUCUACUUUUGACAGAAAUCGUAAAAAAAACGAUUUUUGACACCCACCCCACUUUUUCGCCCACCCACCCCCUUUUUCCCAAUUUGUUUGUGGGCAAUUUAUUUUUCCCCUUUCAUAUACAUACCUACCUACCAUUUAUCCUAAAUUUUUCCACCACCCAUAUGCUGCUAAUAGUUUUUUUAUUUUCAAAAACUAUUGGCACUGGUCUAACACAACUGGCCGGUGCGAAAUUUUUCCUUGCUCUGUCGUCAUACCCACAGUAAU